AUGAACGCUGGCGGCGUGCCUAAUACAUGCAAGUCGAGCGAACAGACGAGGAGCUUGCUCCUCUGACGUUAGCGGCGGACGGGUGAGUAACACGUGGAUAACCUACCUAUAAGCCUGGGAUAACUUCGGGAAACCGGAGCUAAUACCGGAUAAUAUAUUGAACCGCAUGGUUCAAUAGUGAAAGACGGUUUUGCUGUCACUUAUAGAUGGAUCCGCGCCGCAUUAGCUAGUUGGUAAGGUAACGGCUUACCAAGGCAACGAUGCGUAGCCGACCUGAGAGGGUGAUCGGCCACACUGGAACUGAGACACGGUCCAGACUCCUACGGGAGGCAGCAGUAGGGAAUCUUCCGCAAUGGGCGAAAGCUUGACGGAGCAACGCCGCGUGAGUGAUGAAGGUCUUCGGAUCGUAAAACUCUGUUAUUAGGGAAGAACAAAUGUGUAAGUAACUAUGCACGUCUUGACGGUACCUAAUCAGAAAGCCACGGCUAACUACGUG
RNAcentral lists this ribosomal RNA (496 nucleotides) under uncultured bacterium. Its description in RNAcentral is "partial 16S ribosomal RNA". It matches the Rfam family "Bacterial small subunit ribosomal RNA", at positions 29 to 507 of the family's 1533-position model. The record is from RNAcentral.